This 422-nucleotide ribosomal RNA is filed under the name uncultured archaeon. RNAcentral describes it as "bacterial SSU rRNA". It matches the Rfam family "Archaeal small subunit ribosomal RNA", at positions 1 to 392 of the family's 1478-position model. The record is from RNAcentral.
UCCGGUUGAUCCUGCCAGAGGCCGCUGCUAUCCGGCUGGGACUAAGCCAUGGGAGUCAUGGGGCGCGGCCCCUCCGGGGUUCGCGCACCGGCGGACGGCUCAGUAACACGUGGCCAACCUGCCCUCGGGAGGGGGAUAACCCCGGGAAACUGGGGCUAAACCCCCAUAGGGGAUGGGUGGUGGAAUUCCCCCAUCCCCGAAAGUGUGCGGUUGCCGUAAGGCGCCGCACAGCCCGAGGAUGGGGCUGCGGCGGAUUAGGUAGUUGGCGGGGUAACGGCCCGCCAAGCCGAAGAUCCGUACGGGCCAUGAGAGUGGGAGCCCGGAGAUGGCCCCUGAGACAAGGGGCCAGGCCCUACGGGGCGCACCAGGCGCGAAACCUCCGCAAUGCGGGAAACCGCGACGGGGUCAGCCGGAGUGCCCGC